GGUGGCUUAGUAGCAGAGCACUUGCCUUGCAUGCAGGAGGCUCUGGGUUCGAUUCCCUAGCACCA
This 65-nucleotide transfer RNA is filed under the name Dipodomys ordii (Ord's kangaroo rat). It matches the Rfam family "tRNA". From Rfam's summary of the family: Transfer RNA (tRNA) molecules are approximately 80 nucleotides in length. The record is from Rfam by way of RNAcentral. Lineage: Eukaryota; Metazoa; Chordata; Mammalia; Rodentia; Heteromyidae.